This is an RNA transcript of Syngnathus typhle (broad-nosed pipefish), 2514 nucleotides long. It is a transcript of the gene named TSEN2 tRNA splicing endonuclease subunit, with no coding region annotated. The transcript has 12 exons. The record is from RefSeq and is a predicted model, not a curated record. Lineage: Eukaryota; Metazoa; Chordata; Actinopteri; Syngnathiformes; Syngnathidae.
GCCGCUCUUUGCAUUCGAUCACGAUCACCAUGAAGCCAGUGACUGCACAAGUGGCGAUUGCAGUGGUGUAGCCAGGAAAUUUUCCAGUAGGGGCGCGCGCCCACAGGAAAAAAAAUCGAACAUCACCCACGCCGUUCGCUGAUCGCUAAAACAACAUCCCGGUCCGGGAGGCGAACGGUGAAUGGAUAACAUCGCGCACAUAGAAUAGCGCAAGCACAUUCGCGCAAGAGCGAAAGAUAAAAACGGCAUGAAAAUGAAGAAUCGAAAAAGCUUGAAUUUUUUCAACCGGGGCGCAGGGAGCCCUAACCGGGGCGCCGCUUAUGAUGCCGCUUUUAAGCUAAAGGCAGUCGAUGUUGAUGACAUUGUGUUGCGUCACCCUUUUCUUUAUUUCGUGGUCCCGUCUACUCUGGAGCUAUAUGUGUCGCUUGCUAGUUUAAUGUAAUUUAGCGCUUCGUGCAUGAAUAAAAUUAGCAUGAAUAGACCCUCAUCACACUCAAAUAAAUGCAUAAAAGCGACGACGAAAGAGACGGAGAAAGUGUGAGGCGAAGGAUAUCUAACGCUAUUCCAAUCGGACGCUGAGGAGGAAGACUUAGAUGGUUUCAGUGCACAGGAGGAAGAUGCAGACGGGCUAUUUUGGGAAAGGCGUCCUGUCCAGAGCCAGACCGGACCACGGCGUCUCCGACCGGUGGCAGCAACAUGAGGGCUUCCUACUUCCGGUGGUCACGCAGGCCAGGUACGAGGAGCUGCUCGGGCGGGCCGAGUUCUCGCUCCUGGCUCAGGGCUUGGCUCAAGUGGUCGUCAAUCAAACGCUGCUAUGGCUGCGUCAGCCCAUCCAAGCGGACGUGCUGAGGCGGGAGGCGGAGGACGGGGAGGCGCCCCGAUCGGACACGCUGGCCAACCUCCGUUCCGAAACGGGUGGGAGCAUGUUGCGUGAGCUUGGCCUUGCCUCGAGCCCAGACCUCAGACCUGACCGGGGAGCUAACUCUGAGCCAGAUGAUGCUCCUUUAGUUCCGGGGCCCGGUUUUGUUAUCAUUGAUGCCGGGCACGUUGCCGCGCAGCUCAGACGAAAUCCGUUACGGAUGACAGAAUUCCUGGAACUCGGCCCGGAGGAGGCUUUUUUCCUGGUCUACGGCCUGGGCUGCCUGUCUGUCCACGAGCAGCAGCAGAUGGCGGAGAUGCCUGACAAGGCGCCCCCCCAGAUGGAGCUGGAUGAAUUGGUGGCUUUAAUUCUUAUCGCAGAGUACUGUUGUUUUGACGGUCUACCCCUGGCAUCUGCAACAUAUUCUUGGGGCGCCGCUGUCAAUCACCAAGCUGUGGAGGCACUUGGUGGCUUUGCGCCCAGACUUUGUCAGCUCCUACGCGGCCUACCAUCACUUUCGCAGCAGGGGCUGGGUCCCCAAAGGAGGAAGCGGCGCCAAGUACGGCGUGGACAUGCUCUUGUACAGGAAAGGUCCUUCCUUCUACCAUGCCAGCUAUUCGGUGAUGGUGGAAAAAGUGGACGAACGUUUUCAGGGUUCAGCGCUGCGUGCCUAUUCCUGGCGUUCUCUGGCGACUUUGAGCAGGAUCACCGCAAAUGUCUCCAAGGAGCUGCUACUGUGUUAUGUGAUCCAUCCAGCUGACCUGUCAGAAUCUGAGCUGGACUCGCCCGCCUGUCUGAGCAAGCUGAAGGUUCAGAACAUCAUGGUCACCAGGUGGGUUUCCUCCAAAGAACGUGCUGAGCAAGAAGACGUCUGAUUGGCUGGCAGCAGAGGGGGUGGGUUUUCUCCAAAGAAUUUGCUGAGCAAGAUUUCUGAUUGGCUGACAGCAGAGGGGGCGAGGUCCGGAAAGUAGCACAACCUGGACAUGAAGUUAGGAUAGUCAUACGGUGCAUUUUAGUAAGCAGACGCCACCACAUUUGAGGAAAAUGUCACAUUGUGCGUUCCAGGUCUGAAUGUUGCUUUCUUCGUGCUGUGCAGUUGCUUUAUUUUGUACAGUAAAUAAAUCAUGUUGUGAGAUUAUUGGUCAAACUGAAAAGCUGUAAAUUUAUUCCCCAAGAUCAAUGUCUUACUUUCUUGAACCGAUCGUGAAAAUUUAGACACUCCUUCACCUCAAAAGAAGAAAACAAAGUGCAAAGAACAAAUGCAUACUUUUCUUAAAGAAAUGUUGUGUCGUUUGAUUCGACCUCUUCCAAACAAGACUUGAGCAUCCUCUUAUCGAUGACUCCCUUUGCACAUAACACACAUUAUUCAUUUGGUUUGCUUUGCGUCUGUAAGGCAACAAAGACCGUAGUAAUGGACUGCAAUCUGCUCAUCGUUUGUAUUGUCUAGUGGUGGCUCCUUUUGGCUAUUCUUUCCCCUCAGGGGUUGCCACAGCGAACCAUCCAUUUUUUCCAGAUGGUUUGCAUAAGAAGUUUUUGGCACAGUUUUUACGCCGCAUGACCUUCCUGACGCAACCCUCUGCAUUUACCCGGGCUUGGGACCGGUGUUACGGUUCAAUUUGCUCCCGUGAUAUUCUCAAUAAAAACGUGGAACGAAA